UACAUGGGGUGCAAACGUUGCUCGGAAUUAUUGGGCGUAAAGCGCGCGCAGGCGGUCUUUUAAGUCUGAUGUGAAAGCCCACGGCUCAACCGUGGAAGGUCAUUGGAAACUGGGAGACUUGAGUACAGAAGAGGAAAGCGGAAUUCCACGUGUAGCGGUGAAAUGCGUAGAGAUGUGGAGGAACACCAGUGGCGAAGGCGGCUUUCUGGUCUGUAACUGACGCUGAGGCGCGAAAGCGUGGGGAGCAAACAGG
RNAcentral lists this ribosomal RNA (253 nucleotides) under uncultured bacterium. Its description in RNAcentral is "partial 16S ribosomal RNA". It matches the Rfam family "Bacterial small subunit ribosomal RNA", at positions 524 to 776 of the family's 1533-position model. The record is from RNAcentral.